UACGGAGGGUGCAAGCGUUAUCCGGAUUUAUUGGGUUUAAAGGGUGCGUAGGCGGUAUUAUAAGUCAGUGGUGAAAUGUUGCAGCUUAACUGUAAAAUUGCCAUUGAAACUGCAGUACUUGAGUUAUCUUGAAGUAGGCGGAAUGUGUAGUGUAGCGGUGAAAUGCUUAGAUAUUACACAGAACACCGAUUGCGAAGGCAGCUUACUAAGGGUAUACUGACGCUGAGGCACGAAAGCGUGGGGAUCGAACAGG
RNAcentral lists this ribosomal RNA (253 nucleotides) under uncultured bacterium. Its description in RNAcentral is "partial 16S ribosomal RNA". It matches the Rfam family "Bacterial small subunit ribosomal RNA", at positions 524 to 776 of the family's 1533-position model. The record is from RNAcentral.